RNAcentral lists this ribosomal RNA (973 nucleotides) under Verrucosispora sp. Its description in RNAcentral is "bacterial SSU rRNA". It matches the Rfam family "Bacterial small subunit ribosomal RNA", at positions 38 to 1025 of the family's 1533-position model. Lineage: Bacteria; Bacillati; Actinomycetota; Actinomycetes; Micromonosporales; Micromonosporaceae. The record is from RNAcentral.
CGUGGCGGCAGCUUACCAUGCAGUCGAGCGGAAAGGCCCUUCGGGGUACUCGAGCGGCGAACGGGUGAGUAACACGUGAGCAACCUGCCCUAGGCUUUGGGAUAACCCUCGGAAACGGGGGCUAAUACCGAAUAUUCACUUGCGGACGCAUGUUUGUGGGUGGAAAGUUUUUCGGCUUGGGAUGGGCUCGCGGCCUAUCAGCUUGUUGGUGGGGUGAUGGCCUACCAAGGCGACGACGGGUAGCCGGCCUGAGAGGGCGACCGGCCACACUGGGACUGAGACACGGCCCAGACUCCUACGGGAGGCAGCAGUGGGGAAUAUUGCACAAUGGGCGGAAGCCUGAUGCAGCGACGCCGCGUGAGGGAUGACGGCCUUCGGGUUGUAAACCUCUUUCAGCAGGGACGAAGCGCAAGUGACGGUACCUGCAGAAGAAGCGCCGGCCAACUACGUGCCAGCAGCCGCGGUAAGACGUAGGGCGCGAGCGUUGUCCGGAUUUAUUGGGCGUAAAGAGCUCGUAGGCGGCUUGUCGCGUCGACUGUGAAAACCCGUGGCUCAACUGCGGGCCUGCAGUCGAUACGGGCAGGCUAGAGUUCGGUAGGGGAGACUGGAAUUCCUGGUGUAGCGGUGAAAUGCGCAGAUAUCAGGAGGAACACCGGUGGCGAAGGCGGGUCUCUGGGCCGAUACUGACGCUGAGGAGCGAAAGCGUGGGGAGCGAACAGGAUUAGAUACCCUGGUAGUCCACGCUGUAAACGUUGGGCGCUAGGUGUGGGGGGCCUCUCCGGUUCUCUGUGCCGCAGCUAACGCAUUAAGCGCCCCGCCUGGGGAGUACGGGCCGCAAGGCUAAAACUCAAAGGGAAUUUGACGGGGGCCCGCCACAAGCGGGCGGAGCAUGGCGGAUUUACUCCGAUGCCAACGCGAAGAACUUACCCUGGGUUUGAACACAUUCGGCCGGGAAAAUCUCUCUCCACACGAG